This 492-nucleotide ribosomal RNA is filed under the name uncultured bacterium. RNAcentral describes it as "partial 16S ribosomal RNA". It matches the Rfam family "Bacterial small subunit ribosomal RNA", at positions 29 to 507 of the family's 1533-position model. The record is from RNAcentral.
AGUGAACGCUGGCGGUAGGCCUAACACAUGCAAGUCGAACGGCAGCACAGUAAGAGCUUGCUCUUACGGGUGGCGAGUGGCGGACGGGUGAGGAAUACAUCGGAAUCUACUUUUUCGUGGGGGAUAACGUGGGGAAACUUACGCUAAUACCGCAUACGACCUACGGGGGAAAGAAGGGGAUCUUCGGACCUUGCGCGUUUGAAUGAGCCGAUGUCGGAUUAGCUAGUUGGCGGGGUAAAGGCCCACCAAGGCGACGAUCCGUAGCUGGUCUGAGAGGAUGAUCAGCCACACUGGAACUGAGACACGGUCCAGACUCCUACGGGAGGCAGCAGUGGGGAAUAUUGGACAAUGGGCGCAAGCCUGAUCCAGCCAUACCGCGUGGGUGAAGAAGGCCUUCGGGUUGUAAAGCCCUUUUGUUGGGAAAGAAAAGCAGCAGGUUAAUACCCCGCUGUUCUGACGGUACCCAAAGAAUAAGCACCGGCUAACUUCGUG